CUUGUUGGCCAAUUAUUCUAUCUGUCAUGUAAAGAAAAAGCAUUCUUACAGAAUUAGAAGUGGAUCAAGUUUGGCUGUAAAGUUAAUCCAGAAUGUUGUGUAAUCCUACUCAAGAUAAUAUAGUCUUCUUUUAGUUUUGUGAGAAAUGAUCAACAGUCGUGCCCAACAGCGCAGUGUACUUCAGACUUCUAAUUUCCCUCCUCAAAGUCUCUGGCUAGUCCUUCAGAGUACACCCGAUAUGAGGAAUUCACUGAGCCAGUCUGCUAGGUAAAACAAUAUGGCAUUUGGAAAUGAUUUCAUUUUGGAACCCACUGGCAUAGGAAACAUUGGCGGCCCUUUUUUUGGGCUGUGUGGAGCUGAAGAUAAGCAUGAAGUAGAACUACUUUGCGGUGCACAGAAACCUUCACCCUAUUCAAAACCAAGAAUUUCGAAGUUGCCUUCCUGUAGGGGCUGUAGGGAUGCAUGCGCAGUUACUGUGCAGAGACGGAGCCAAGAGUCUCUCCUGCAAGUAACACUUUGCAUCCAGAGAAAUGAAAACAAAGGUAAAUGGCUGUCUGUAACUUUCGGAGCACCCGUGAGCACUCAGGGAUGAAGGCACUGGACUUCCAAGUCUGAACCCCAAUACUCAGGCAAAGCAGAGGAGAGCAGGAUGCCAGUUUGCUGCAAGUACAUCUCGCGUAUAAGGAUGGCAACACCAAGCUGCAAACACUUGACCGAGAAAAUGAAGCCCCAGAAACCUGCUUCUCAGCAGCAGCCCCACUUUAACAAAACAGCCUGCGGCUCCCAGCGUUCAGAUCUGAGACUAAUCGAAACAUUCAGUUCCGUAUUGACAGGACUCCUGUUCUGGAUACUGUUCAUCUCCCCACAUUUGAAAAUCUGUAAAAAUAAAAAGGAACGGGGUGGGGGGGCGUGGAACGCCCGGAGGAGAAAGGAGGGAAAAGAUACACAUGCGGGUUUGGUUUCGUCGCAAAGUAUUGAAGCUCUGUAAUGAACUUCACAUGUUUCCGAUCAUCAUUGCAAAAUAUAAACACCUCGAGAUCAGCCA
Talpa occidentalis (Iberian mole) is the source of this 1045-nucleotide long non-coding RNA. RefSeq lists it as uncharacterized. The record is from RefSeq and is a predicted model, not a curated record. The transcript is spliced from 3 exons. NCBI's taxonomy places the organism in Eukaryota, Metazoa, Chordata, Mammalia, Eulipotyphla, Talpidae.